This 497-nucleotide ribosomal RNA is filed under the name uncultured bacterium. RNAcentral's name for it is "partial 16S ribosomal RNA". It matches the Rfam family "Bacterial small subunit ribosomal RNA", at positions 28 to 507 of the family's 1533-position model. The record is from RNAcentral.
GAUGAACGCUGGCGGCGUGCCUAAUACAUGCAAGUCGAGCGAACAGACGAGGAGCUUGCUCCUCUGACGUUAGCGGCGGACGGGUGAGUAACACGUGGAUAACCUACCUAUAAGACUGGGAUAACUUCGGGAAACCGGAGCUAAUACCGGAUAAUAUAUUGAACCGCAUGGUUCAAUAGUGAAAGACGGUUUUGCUGUCACUUAUAGAUGGAUCCGCGCCGCAUUAGCUAGUUGGUAAGGUAACGGCUUACCAAGGCGACGAUGCGUAGCCGACCUGAGAGGAUGAUCGGCCACACUGGAACUGAGACACGGUCCAGACUCCUACGGGAGGCAGCAGUAGGGAAUCUUCCGCAAUGGGCGAAAGCCUGACGGAGCAACGCCGCGUGAGUGAUGAAGGUCUUCGGAUCGUAAAGCUCUGUUAUUAGGGAAGAACAAAUGUGUAAGUAACUAUGCACGUCUUGACGGUACCUAAUCAGAAAGCCACGGCUAACUACGUG